UUUUGGAAAGAAUUCUUCAAAUGCUUGGGAACCAACCUCUCUUUUAGUACAGCAUACCAAUAACCCUAACAGUCUUGCUUAUCCAAUUGGAUCUUGUCCUCGCCCAUUAAGGUUCAUGCAUGCAUUUGAGAAAGCAAUAGUAUGAAAGUCUUGCUUCUGUCCCAAAAAAAAAAACGAAGGGUUUUAAAAAAAAAGGGAGGAGGAGGAGAGAGAGAGAGA
Molecule: unclassified non-coding RNA, 219 nt
Filed under: Hevea brasiliensis (rubber tree)
Lineage: Eukaryota; Viridiplantae; Streptophyta; Magnoliopsida; Malpighiales; Euphorbiaceae
Source: RNAcentral